UACAGAGGGGGCAAGCGUUGUUCGGAAUUACUGGGCGUAAAGGGCGCGUAGGUGGCCUUCUAAGUUGAACGUGAAAUCCCUGGGCUCAACCCAGGAACUGCGUCCAAGACUGGGAGGCUUGAAUCCGGGAGAGGGAUGCGGAAUUCCAGGUGUAGCGGUGAAAUGCGUAGAUAUCUGGAGGAAUACCGGUGGCGAAGGCGGCAUCCUGGACCAUUACUGACGCUGAGGCGCGAAAGCGUGGGGAGCAAACAGG
RNAcentral lists this ribosomal RNA (253 nucleotides) under uncultured bacterium. RNAcentral describes it as "partial 16S ribosomal RNA". It matches the Rfam family "Bacterial small subunit ribosomal RNA", at positions 524 to 776 of the family's 1533-position model. The record is from RNAcentral.